AAUUCCAGCUUCUUCAUCCAGCUACAUAUUCACCUACAAGUACAAAAUUCCCAUUGCCAAUUAGAGGAUGCCCUGGUGCUGAUUCUGCUCUAGUCACUUGGUGAUUUAGGUCAAUGCUUCUCACAUUUCAACAGGCAAACAAACUACUUAAGUCUUGCUGAAGUCCAGAUUCUGAUUUGGUAGAUCCUGAAAUGUAACCUGAGACUCUUUGUAACUAAUGAGUUCCUGGUGAUCAUGCUGCGGCUUGUCCCCCAUACUUUGAGUUGCAAGGAUCUACCCAGAGUUGGAUUGUACUUCUCAAACAGAAAGAGAAGCCCCUACUGGACCAAUAAGUCUUAAUAGAGCAUACUUCUGUGCUUCCAUUAAUUCUAGCAGUUACUUUAAAGUCAUAAACUGGACUAAAGUCUUCUGCCAAGGCUUGGAUUACUGGAGCAACAAAGCCUUUUGUAUCUGUUAGGAAAGAACUAUCUGUCAGGAUGAUCUGACCUGAUUUUCUGGACCUCAUCAGGUUUGGGUCCAAGUGAGGCUGCACAUCUGGCCAAGGAGAACUGGUCUGUGUGUAAGGCAGAGUGUCAACUUAGUUACAAGUCACACAUGUGGACACACAAGCCUACAACUUCGACCUCUGGCACAUCCUAUGUCCCCUAUUAAAGCAUUUCAUCAGCAAUGUAAAUAUUACCAAGAAGUUGCUAAGGAAAAGCCUUUUGGCAACUAGAUGGUCUGUCUUCAAUGUUCAUCACGAAUCCACUGGAGCUAACAAAUCGUGAAAUUGUUGACAACCCUGGUUGUACAGCAUCCUGAAGUGAGAGAAAUGCCAACAAUUAUGCCAGAAGGAAAGCUUUAAGGAUAUUCUACAUCCUGGCUUCAAACAACAAAGCUUUACUGCAGACUGCAAGGAAGUGGCAGACACAAGGAAAUGAGGCUGGUGCAUUGAAAUCCACAAAGGAAGAACUUUUCUCAGAACAGAGACUUCACAAGCUCACUAUUAGUUUAAGAUCUAGAGCUACAAACAGUCACAGCCUCUCAAAAGCCCAGCUAUAGUCCAAUCAAAGAACUAUCUUCACACUGGGCAAUACGGAAAAAGCUGUUGAAUCAACAUUCAUCCUAACAGUCACACUUAUACAUAAUGGGGCAUGAUUAGGUUUGCGAGACAGAGGAGCAGACAGUGAAAGUUGAGGAGGGGAAUAUUUAAGAUAGUCUUGGGGACUCUAUGGGAGAGAGGAAAAUGGAUCAUUCAAAAGCAGCUCCCAAGAUGGAAGUCCAGAGAGGAGAGCAACUGGCCAAGGUCACUUUACUACACGUGGAAGAGAGAGG
Long non-coding RNA from Symphalangus syndactylus (siamang), 1314 nucleotides. RefSeq lists it as uncharacterized. NCBI's taxonomy places the organism in Eukaryota, Metazoa, Chordata, Mammalia, Primates, Hylobatidae. The record is from RefSeq and is a predicted model, not a curated record.